AUCGUUCCGGCGCCGCUCGCCCUCCACUCUCCCGACCUCCACUACUGGUCGUCUCUCACCUCCACCACCGCCGCCCGGGUCAACCUGCAUCCGCCACCGACGCCCACCUUUAAUGUCUGUGACUUCCACCGUCGCUUGCCUGCAGCUCCGACCCUUGCUGCAUCCCACCUUCGUCGGACCACUCCGCCCAACACGGCUUCCCUGGACGCGAUGAUUGUACCCCGUGCUCCCUGCUCCAGAUCUGGGUAAGUCUGUUGUUGCACAUCCAGUAAACUCCUGCUCCUCCUCGUCUGACGUGACAGCAGCGGCCUCCUCCUCUCCGUUUUGUCCAAGCCAGUUGAUCCAUUUUUCUGUGCUUGAAUCUGCCAUAUCAAGGAUCCUUUGUUGAAGCUGCAGCCACACUGGUACAACUUCUAUAUAUCGCCUCCCUUCACAAAUAAUUUUGGCAGUAAACGUUCAAUUUUAGAAGCAAGUUAGUCAUAUUUUAGUUAGCAAUGUAAGUAAUUAUUUGCAUAGUUGUGCCACUCUCUUUUAGGUUUUGUUUCUCAUCUUUAGAAGUCUUUGUAGUGGAAGGAAGGGCAAGGCAAAACCUGUCUCAGGUACCUUGUUGUUUGGAACAUGUCAUCCCUUGAGCUCGGCACCUGUUCGCAUAUGCCCUGUUCGAAGAGUGAGUCAGUGCGUGUCCGUGCUCUGUUUUACGCGCGCGCGUGUGUGUGUGUGUGUGUGUGUGUGUGUUUUGGUUCAGGUGCAAGCCCAUGGAUGCUAAAGACUAUGAGGAGUACAUACCUCUUCUUUAUGAAGUUCUCGCAGGUCAGCAACAUGAGGGCAAAAAGGGCAGGACCUCGUUAAGAAUGUCGUCCUAGUGGGCACAAGGUCGAACAUGAAGCUACCAGGAACACCGAGUUAUCCUCUGUUAGCUUGGAGGAUGGUGCUAUGGGCGACCACGUCGGCAAUGGCAACAGCGAAGGCAACAAUGAUGUUGAGAACAUGGUGGUAGCCUAAGGUGACUUAGAAACUUAUGAAGGUGUAGAUGAUGCUCCAGAUCAUGAACCAGUGGGCUUAGAAACAUGAGUCUUAUUGUUUUGGGUGGCGGUGGCAUGUAUGCGUACAACUGACAUGUUACUGCUGUUGAGCAAAUAAAACAACAGCAAUUAAAAUUUUCAGAUGUCA
Triticum aestivum (bread wheat) is the source of this 1170-nucleotide long non-coding RNA. RefSeq lists it as uncharacterized. The record is from RefSeq and is a predicted model, not a curated record. Lineage: Eukaryota; Viridiplantae; Streptophyta; Magnoliopsida; Poales; Poaceae. The transcript is spliced from 5 exons.